Non-coding RNA from Macaca mulatta (Rhesus monkey), 504 nucleotides. NCBI's taxonomy places the organism in Eukaryota, Metazoa, Chordata, Mammalia, Primates, Cercopithecidae. The record is from RefSeq and is a predicted model, not a curated record.
GAUUGUUUACUUACAGCUAAACCUUUAGACAGGAGGCCAACUCUCAGUGGUCACUUUCAAAUAGGUUUACUUUGGACUGGCAAGAUUUAAAAAAAAUCCACAACUUUCAAAUAGACAUGUGAAUAAUGCCAGUAUUCUUGACUUUAUCUGUUUUUCUGAAGUAUUUACUCUACUCUCUCUAAGGGAACACCUUAGGGGAGUACUAUGGAUUUAAGAGAAUGACUUUAAUGGGGACUCUGUGUCCAGUCCUAAAGUAAGGAGUGUAGUUGAUUGGAUGGUGACCAACAGAUUUGAGGUGGCAUCGUCAGUUCUGCAGAGUUAAAAGAGCUCCACUGCCAGCUCCUGCAUUAUACAUAAGUAGAAAGGAAGAAAGAUGAGCUAAAGAUCUUGGAAAGUAGAAAAUCUAAUUGUUGUUCUGGAUUCUAAACAUUACCUGUGUGGCCUUAGAUAAACUUGAAUCUUUUCAUAUGUAAAAUAAAGGAAGUUAAAUUGAAAGAUUUCUAA